RNAcentral lists this ribosomal RNA (1453 nucleotides) under uncultured prokaryote. Its description in RNAcentral is "partial 16S ribosomal RNA". It matches the Rfam family "Bacterial small subunit ribosomal RNA". The record is from RNAcentral.
GAUGAACGCUAGCGGCAGGCUUAACACAUGCAAGUCGAGGGGCAGCACGGGUAGCAAUACUUGGUGGCGACCGGCGCACGGGUGAGUAACGCGUAUGCAACCUACCCAUAACAGGGGGAUAGCUUUCGGAAACGGAAAUUAAUACCCCAUAGUACUUUAAGACCGCAUGGUUUAAAAGUUAAAACUUCGGUGGUUAUGGAUGGGCAUGCGUGCCAUUAGUUAGUUGGUGAGGUAAAAGCUCACCAAGACGAUGAUGGCUAGGGGGUCUUAAAGGAUGGUCCCCCACACUGGUACUGAGACACGGACCAGACUCCUACGGGAGGCAGCAGUGAGGAAUAUUGGUCAAUGGGCGCAAGCCUGAACCAGCCAUGCCGCGUGCAGGAAGACGGCCCUAUGGGUUGUAAACUGCUUUUAUAUGGGAAGAAAAUGUUCUACGUGUAGAGCACUGACGGUACCAUAAGAAUAAGCAUCGGCUAACUCCGUGCCAGCAGCCGCGGUAAUACGGAGGAUGCAAGCGUUAUCCGGAUUUAUUAGGUUUAAAGGGUGUGUAGGCGGAAUUUUAAGUCAGUGGUGAAAUCUCACAGCUCAACUGUGAAACUGCCAUUGAUACUGAAAUUCUUGAGUAUAGUUGAGGUAGGCGGAAUGUGUAAUGUAGCGGUGAAAUGCUUAGAUAUUACACAGAACACCGAUUGCGAAGGCAGCUUACUAAGCUAUUACUGACGCUGAUGCACGAAAGCGUGGGGAGCGAACAGGAUUAGAUACCCUGGUAGUCCACGCCGUAAACGAUGAUUACUCGUUGUUGGCGAUAUAUUGUCAGCGACUGAGCGAAAGCAUUAAGUAAUCCACCUGGGGAGUACGUUCGCAAGAAUGAAACUCAAAGGAAUUGACGGGGGCCCGCACAAGCGGAGGAACAUGUGGUUUAAUUCGAUGCAACGCGAAGAACCUUACCAGCUCUUGAUGUAGUAUGACCGUACCCGAAAGGGUAAUUCUCUUCGGGACAAUUUACAAGGUGCUGCAUGGUUGUCGUCAGCUCGUGCCGUGAGGUGUCGGGUUAAGUCCCAUAACGAGCGCAACCCCUAUUGUUAGUUGCCAGCGGAUAAUGCCGGUGACUCUAACGAGACUGCCAACGUAAGGUGUGAGGAAGGUGGGGACGACGUCAAAUCGUCAUGCCCCUUAUGUCUUGGGCUACACACGUACUACAAUGGCUAUUACAGAGGGAAGCUAAGCCGUAAGGUGGAGCAAAUCCCCAAAAAUAGUCCCAGUUCAGAUUGUGGGCUGCAACCCGCCCACAUGAAGUCGGAAUUGCUAGUAAUGGCAGGUCAGCAUACUGCCGUGAAUACGUUCCCGGGCCUUGUACACACCGCCCGUCACACCAUGAGAGUCUGUAACACCCGAAGUCAGUAGACUAACCGCAAGGAGGUCGCUGCCGAAGGUGGGACCGAUGAUUGGGGUG